RNAcentral lists this long non-coding RNA (852 nucleotides) under Equus asinus (donkey). RNAcentral describes it as "lncRNA (ENSEASG00005026404.1)". Lineage: Eukaryota; Metazoa; Chordata; Mammalia; Perissodactyla; Equidae. The record is from RNAcentral.
CGCGCGCUGGGGCCCUGGGAACAGCCUGGGGGGGCUCCGGCGACAGCCGGGCUGGGGGCGGGGAGGCGGGGGCGGGUGGCUCGGGAAGAUGGGAGCAGAAGCUGGGGGGCGGGGGGCGCGGCCGAGGCGCGUGCGGGCGGUGCUCCGCAAAGUGGCGAGUCUGGGCGGUCGGGCCCUGGGCGCUGCUCCCCAGAAGGGGCCAGGGUCGCGGGCUCAAGCGGGACAGGGGCCUCCCUGGGCGCAGGCCGUGCGGGCAUGGUGAAGGAUGGGAGAGGCUGGCGCGCUGCCCGGGGUCUGCCCCGACCCGGCACCUUCGGAGGUGAAGAAACUGAUGCCUCAGGAAGGAAUCUACCCACGGGGGCAGGCGGGGCCGACGGAGAUGCCAGGCCGUGAUCUAGAGGCCUGCUCCAUCAGGACCAGAGUGUGAGCCUGGGCGCUGGGCCUGUCCUGCAGGUCCGCGCCUCGCUCACCCCUGGCUUACAGUGCAGACCACUUCCCUCAUUUAGACUCAGAUGGCUCCCACAUUUGUAUCUCCUGCCCAGACCUGCUCCCUAAGCUCAGCUCCACCUGCCUACGUGGUCCUCCCCCAGCGAGGUCCCUUCUGGGACCGUCUCAGCCCAGCCCCGGGCAGUGGUCCCUCGCUUGACACCCCAGUACCCCCAGCCCGCCCAAACCAGUGCCCGCUGCAGCCCAGGGAGGCUCUCAAGUGCGGCUCUGACCCCACUGCCCCGUGCAGCGCUGCGCCGGCGUCCCACUGCUCCACGGAUGGAGACUGGCUCCUUGCAUGGUGGCCCCGUGAUCCCUGCAGCGUCACUGUGCACGAACCCCUCGCUGACCCCCAGCCGCUCUGGC